This 1371-nucleotide long non-coding RNA is filed under the name Astyanax mexicanus (Mexican tetra). RNAcentral's name for it is "lncRNA (ENSAMXG00005007494.1)". Lineage: Eukaryota; Metazoa; Chordata; Actinopteri; Characiformes; Acestrorhamphidae. The record is from RNAcentral.
AUGAUAAUAAUAAUCUAAUAAUAAUCUGAACCCUCACACUCUUACUUUAUUCAAUUUCAGUUUUUGGGCCACCACCAAUCAGGUACAGCCUGAAGGUCAUUGGAAAUGACAGUAAUUGUCACAAAGAGUUCAUGAGAAAUAUCAACUUCAAGCUUAAACUGCGCGAGCAGUCCCGUGAGGAUAAGAGUGACGUCAUCUUUGCUUUUGUCCCCAUUGUGUCACGAGCUGGAACUGACAUCGAAGCUGCUCUUCAGGAAAUUCCUGAUUCCAGGCCUGUUGUUCUAGUGGCUCUCCACCACACGUUUGAUCCAGAUUUUGUAGCUCCAGACAGCAGACUGUGUGUAAACAGGGCUAACGUGUUCACUGUGGACUGCCUGUUUCAUGAAGACCAAGGUCUGCUGGGAUGCCAACGCAACUUUGAGGCCCAAGAAUCAAUUGAAGAUUAUUUGAUUGGCAUCAAGAAGAUGUCCAGACUGCUGUGAGAUUGAUCUGUCCUGAGACUGAGAGACGUGUUUUUACUCAGGACUGUUUCAUCUACAGAAAUCUUAUACAGAUGUGUGCAAAUGAUUGGAUGCUUCUGUUCAAAUGACACAUGACCCAUUCCUGAAGUGUGGGUAAAUUUGGUGUAUAGAAAGAUUUGACUUAUCAGUGUUUUAUGGAUAAACAUUCUACAUAUUAUUGUUAAGACAUGAAUGAAAAAAAUGAUGAGUAAUUAAUAUAUAGUACAUUUGGCUCAACAUUUUGUACAAAGUAAUGGUACAGCACCGACCAAUAAUAUACACCCACAGUGAAAAUUAGCAUACAGAAAGAGUAGCAUAAUAUAUGCAGUAAGAGCAGUGGUAGUAGCAAGGUAAUAGCUCCUUCAACCACAGACGCAGCUCCCCUCACGUCUCUGAGAGAUGGUGGAUAUGCGUUUGGUAGCUUGCUAUGUAGUGUCCCCAUAUAUGAUCUAAAAAGCUGUAAAUAAGCUUAAAAAGCUUGUUGGAAUGUUGGGUUAAUAUAUAUAUAUAUAUAUAUAUAUAUAUAUAUAUAGCUUAUUUAUGAUCAGUGUAUACAGCAUUAGCUACUUCAGACUGUGUUCACUUUACAAACAAUACAACCACAAUCCUUUUAGAUGCUAUUUGUGAAUUUAAAUUGUGUAGUGGGUGUAAAUUUAUAUUUAUUUAUGCUUCAUUUAACUUUGGUAAUGCUGGUCAUGCUGAUUAAAUAGCUUGGUCUAGCUUGGUUGUCCAGCUAAGCCAUCAAAUUUAAUUUAUAAUGAUAAAAGUAAAUUAUAACACGUUUGGUCUCUCAUUUUAAUUUAGAACAUAAGCAACACCACUGAGGCAUCAGCUCUUAUAAAAUAAAACACAAUCCUGAUUAUAGGAUCCA